AAUCAACGCUGGCGGCGUGCCUCAGACAUGCAAGUCGAACGAGAAAGUUUCCUUCGGGGAAUGAGUAAAGUGGCGCACGGGUGAGUAACACGUAGGUAAUCUACCUUCGGGUGGGGAAGUAACCCAGGGAAACUUGGGCUAACACCGCAUAAUGCAGCGGCACCACAUGGUGACAGUUGUUAAAGCGGGGAGUUUUAGGACCUCGCGCCUGAAGAGGAGCCUGCGGCGAUUAGCAGUUGGUAAGGUAACGGCUUACCAAGGCGACGAUCCGUAACCGGCCUGAGAGGGCGGGUCGGUCACACUGACACUGACAUACGGGUCA
RNAcentral lists this ribosomal RNA (322 nucleotides) under uncultured bacterium. RNAcentral describes it as "bacterial SSU rRNA". It matches the Rfam family "Bacterial small subunit ribosomal RNA", at positions 32 to 333 of the family's 1533-position model. The record is from RNAcentral.